AUGGAAGAGGCGGCGCUAAUUCGCUGCUACCCGCACCGCACCACGUCCCUAGCUUCCUCCUCUCUGAUCGAACCGAGUCCGUUUUACAAAGGGAUCCGGCGACUAGAGGGGGAGCUGCCACCGGUGAUGCUGCCGGAGAAGCUGGCGAGGUUCCUCCAGAAGUGCGCCUAA
This 171-nucleotide ribosomal RNA is filed under the name Triticum aestivum (bread wheat). RNAcentral describes it as "partial small subunit ribosomal RNA". The record is from RNAcentral. Lineage: Eukaryota; Viridiplantae; Streptophyta; Magnoliopsida; Poales; Poaceae.